GGGUAGCUAGUUCAUCGGUAGAACGCUUCUCUGAUAAAGAAGAGGUGGAAGGUUCGAUUCCUUCGCUACCCACCA
This 75-nucleotide transfer RNA is filed under the name bacterium. Its description in RNAcentral is "tRNA-Ile". It matches the Rfam family "tRNA". Rfam says of the family: Transfer RNA (tRNA) molecules are approximately 80 nucleotides in length. Their secondary structure includes four short double-helical elements and three loops (D, anti-codon, and T loops). The record is from RNAcentral.